UUGUUGCAGUUAAAAAGCUCGUAGUUGGACCUUGGGCAGGAGGCACGGGUUGGCCGAAUGGCUCGACUCGGGUCUCCGGCCUCCAUGGGUGGUCGUGCCUUUGGUACGGUUCGCCCGGGUUACUGUGAAGAAAUUAGAGUGUUUAAAGCAAGCGAUUGCUUGGAUACAUCAGCAUGGAAUAACAAGAUAGGACCUGGUUCCACUCGUUGGUUUGGGGGCUUUGGUAAUGAUUAAUAGGGCCAGUUGGGGGCAUUAGUAUUCAGUAGUCAGAGGUGAAAUUCUUGGAUUUACUGAAGACUAACUAGUGCGAAAGCAUUUGCCAAGGAUGUUUUCAUUAAUCAAGAACGAAAGUUAGGGGAUCGAAGACGAUCAGAUACCGUCGUAGUCUUAACUAUAAACGAUGCCGACUCGGGAUCGGCAGACGUCGUUAGCGACACUGUCGGCACCGUGUGAGAAAUCAAAGUUUUUGGGUUCUGGGGGGAGUAUGGUCGCAAGGCUGAAACUUAAAGGAAUUGACGGAAGGGCACCACCAGGAGUGGAGCCUGCGGCUUAAUUUGACUCAACACGGGAAAACUCACCAGGUCCGGACAUAGUAAGGAUUGACAGAUUGAGAGCUCUUUCUUGAUUCUGU
Molecule: ribosomal RNA, 631 nt
Filed under: uncultured eukaryote
Lineage: Eukaryota
Description: SSU rRNA
Rfam family: Eukaryotic small subunit ribosomal RNA
Source: RNAcentral